CAGAGUGUGCAACUCCAAGUUUUCUAACAGGUUCAAUUUUGGGACAGGAAAGUCCAAUUGCGAGGCCACCCUCCGUUCUCGGUCCGAGGAAAUAAAGUGCUAAAAAAAUUCACAGCCAAGGCCUUUAUACCCUCCAUAUCCUCAAUCCAGUGCCCCGCGGCAUCCUUAAUUUGGGAAAUAAAAUUCAUACUCUACCUUUGUUUAACCACUGAGUGAAAAAGCUUGGUAUUUACGUCACCCGCCUGAAUCCAUUUAAUUGCCGAUUUCUGUUGCUAGUAUUCACACUCAACAGCCAGGGCACGAGCGUGAGUCGCUCUAGCCUCCCCCAGCCUAGCCUUCGUUACCUCAUCCCGGGUAAUGUCAUAUUCCACUUCGCGUUGACGGAGAAUGUCCUCGGCCUCCCUAAUUUUCUGAGAUAUGUUACCAAAGGAGUCCCGAUUCCACUGGCGUAGCCUAGCUUUUGUAUUACACAACUUGUAGAAAAAAACCCUCAUCCCUGUGGCACCCAUCGGAAUCUGCCAGGCCUCCCGGACGAUUGCCAAGAACUCGGGGAGGUUCCUCCACACAUUCAAAAAUCGAAAGGAGGAGGCCAUAGCGGUGACAUCUCCACACCUAAUCCACAGCGGGGCCUGAUCAGAGCGACCGCGCGACAGGUGAAAAACAUUAGAGCUCCCAAACAACUCAUUCCAUGCACCAUUAUGCAGAGCUCUAUCCAAACAUUGCCAUACCACACCAUUAGUCCAAGUGAACUACGCCCCCUCAAAGCCGACAUCCGAGAGCCCACAAUUAAAAACUGCGUCAUUAAACUCCUCCAUAUUCUGAGGGUUGGGUGGGGCACCUCCUGACAGCUCAUUGACAUUUGAAAUAAUAUUAAAAUCGCCGGCCACCAUCCACGGGCCC
RNAcentral lists this long non-coding RNA (900 nucleotides) under Coffea arabica (coffee). RNAcentral's name for it is "long non-coding RNA (CARA_LNC004728)". The record is from RNAcentral. Lineage: Eukaryota; Viridiplantae; Streptophyta; Magnoliopsida; Gentianales; Rubiaceae.